Molecule: ribosomal RNA, 810 nt
Filed under: uncultured marine bacterium
Lineage: Bacteria
Description: bacterial SSU rRNA
Rfam family: Bacterial small subunit ribosomal RNA
Source: RNAcentral
CGGAAACGAUGGGAGCUUGCUCCCAGGCGUCGAGUGGCGGACGGGUGAGUAAUACUUAGGAAUCUGCCCAUUAGUGGGGGACAACUCGAGGAAACUCGAGCUAAUACCGCAUACGCCCUACGGGGGAAAGCGGAGGACCUUUCGGGGCUUCGCGCUAAUGGAUGAGCCUAAGUCGGAUUAGCUUGUUGGUGAGGUAAAGGCUCACCAAGGCGACGAUCCGUAGCUGGUCUGAGAGGACGAUCAGCCACACUGGGACUGAGACACGGCCCAGACUCCUACGGGAGGCAGCAGUGGGGAAUAUUGGACAAUGGGCGCAAGCCUGAUCCAGCAAUGCCGCGUGUGUGAAGAAGGCCUGCGGGUUGUAAAGCACUUUCAGUAGAGAAGAAAAGCCUAUGGUUAAUACCCGUGGGUCUUGACGUUACCUACAGAAGAAGCUCCGGCUAACUCCGUGCCAGCAGCCGCGGUAAUACGGAGGGAGCGAGCGUUAAUCGGAAUUACUGGGCGUAAAGCGCGCGUAGGCGGCUUUGUAAGUCGGAUGUGAAAGCCCUGGGCUUAACCUGGGAAUGGCAUUCGAAACUGCAGAGCUAGAGUAUGGUAGAGGGAAGUGGAAUUUCCGGUGUAGCGGUGAAAUGCGUAGAUAUCGGAAGGAACACCAGUGGCGAAGGCGACUUCCUGGGCCAAUACUGACGCUGAGGUGCGAAAGCGUGGGGGAGCAAACAGGAUUAGAUACCCUGGUAGUCCACGCCGUAAACGAUGAGAACUAGAUGUCGGGGGAAUCUGUCCUUUCGGUGUCGCAGCUAACGCGUUAAG